GGCGCGCGGAGCUGCUGACAGGACCUGGUCAGAAGGGGCCCCUUUAGCAGAGCUUCAGCCAGAGCGCCCAGGGCAGCACGAAGCAGCGGCUCGAGGCGCGCACUUACUCCUUCAAGCCCGCUAGGGCGCCUGCCCCGGAGCCCGGCAACUCUCGGCCACGGUCCCCGCAUCCCCCGAGGACCCUUCGCCUCACCUGCGCCUGCCACGCCCCGUCCGGCCGCCGGGAUGAGCGAGCUGAACACAAAAACACCCCCAGCGACCAACCAGGCGUCUGACCCUGAGGAAAAAGGGAAGGCUGGCAGCAUCAAGAAGGCUGAGGAGGAGGAGGAGAUUGACAUUGACCUGACUGCUCCAGAGACAGAGAAGGCUGCCCUUGCGAUUCAGGGCAAGUUCAGGCAAUUCCAGAAAAAGAAAAAGGAUUCCAGUUCCUGAAUGGCCAGCCUUCCCUUCACUCUUCUACUUCCUCUCUCCCCUCCACAGCUCUGGCUCUCACGUGUCUUGUCCCUUCAUCCCUCUGGCCUCUCCUAGAGGCAAGCUGAACCUUUAUAGAUUCUUUUCUCAGGCUCUCUUAAGCCAUCACAGUAGUAGAGACACAGGACUUGAGAAGAUGCCAGUUGACUGUCACUAGGCUAAGGGUGGAUCAGCGUGUUGCAGAGAACAAAAGGUUUUGAGGUUUGACCCUCCCCUCCUCCUAAUGUCAAGGGCAAGAUGGGAAAGCUUUCAGGGUGCAGUGCCUGAGGGUGGGGAGAUGUACUCUGCCAGAUGCAGCACUCACGCUUCAGGUAACACUUUCUGGUCCUUCUGCACCAUCCCUCCCAUCUCCCGUGUUUCAGCCUCAAUGCAACUGUCCUUUCACCUGGGCAGACAUAAAUUAAGGAGCUUGCAGAAUGUGAUGGUGCAUGCCUUUAGUCCCAGAACUUGGAAGAUAGAGGCAGAGGAAUCUCUGUAUGUUCAAGGCCAGCCAGCCAGGGCUACAUAGAAAAAGACCCUGUCUCAAAAAAAAAAAAAAAAAAAAAAAAAAAAAAAACUGCACCUCCCCCCCCAAAAAAAGCAGCUUAAUAAAUUAGUGCAUGCUGAGUAGAUUCCUUCCAAGGAAGGAAAGCAGGUAGAGACAGGAAAACCUUCCUUCAUGGUCCAGUCUGAGAUCAGAGGAGUCAAAGAUGGCAGAAGGCCCAGAGGCCAUAGGCCAGAAAACAUUUAGUUAGGAAGGAAAGAAAAGUAGAGAAGGGAAAGAUGUCUGAAGCUAUUAGUUAAAUUUAACUGUUAAAUAAAUACUACAUGAGGGGCUUUCUGGCCAUUGCUAAUCUGCCUACCUCUUAAUCUACCCCAUCUCUAGUCAUCCCCAGAGCCACAUGAGCCAAGUGAUACCCCUAUAGUUCUCAGCCACCCCACUGUGGAGUCAGGGCAAAAAUAGCCACUGUAAUGUGAUUUUAGCAUGUUUAAUAAUCAUAACAAUAAAAAAAGCCCUCAAAUGGGGCCACUGAACCUCUA
Molecule: long non-coding RNA, 1491 nt
Organism: Alexandromys fortis (reed vole)
Lineage: Eukaryota; Metazoa; Chordata; Mammalia; Rodentia; Cricetidae
Exons: 3
Source: RefSeq, a predicted model, not a curated record